UUCGUCGUUUGUAUGACAUUGUGCCAGAGAAGCACGGUUGAUUCCGCCAAUGUCACGUAGAGUGAAGAACACACGUAGGAGAUUGAUUGAUCAGUGCAGUUGAGAUAACAGUCUCAAUUUAAUUUUGAAAACAGG
Melitaea cinxia (Glanville fritillary) is the source of this 135-nucleotide long non-coding RNA. RefSeq lists it as uncharacterized. NCBI's taxonomy places the organism in Eukaryota, Metazoa, Arthropoda, Insecta, Lepidoptera, Nymphalidae. The record is from RefSeq and is a predicted model, not a curated record. The transcript is spliced from 3 exons.